UACGGGGGAUGCAAGCGUUAUCCGGAAUCAUUGGGCGUAAAGCGCCUGUAGGUUGUUUAAUAAGUCUGUUGUUAAAGACUGGGGCUUAACCCCAGGAAAGCAAUGGAAACUACUAGACUAGAGUAUGGUAGGGGUAAAGGGAAUUUCUAGUGUAGCGGUGAAAUGCGUAGAUAUUAGAAAGAACACCGGUGGCGAAAGCGCUUUACUGGACCAUUACUGACACUCAGAGGCGAAAGCUAGGGUAGCCAAAGGGAUUAGAUACCCCAGUAGUCCUAGCCGUAAACGAUGGAUACUAAACAUUGCGUGCUCGCCGUGGUGUUAUAGCUAACGCGUUAAGUAUCCCGCCUGGGGAGUAUGCUCGCAAGGGUG
RNAcentral lists this ribosomal RNA (369 nucleotides) under uncultured phototrophic eukaryote. Its description in RNAcentral is "SSU rRNA". It matches the Rfam family "Bacterial small subunit ribosomal RNA", at positions 524 to 896 of the family's 1533-position model. The record is from RNAcentral.